UACGAAGGGGGCUAGCGUUGCUCGGAAUCACUGGGCGUAAAGGGUGCGUAGGCGGGUCUUUUAAGUCAGGGGUGAAAUCCUGGAGCUCAACUCCAGAACUGCCUUUGAUACUGAGGAUCUUGAGUUCGGGAGGGGUGAGUGGAACUGCGAGUGUAGAGGUGAAAUUCGUAGAUAUUCGCAAGAACACCAGUGGCGAAGGCGGCUCACUGGCCCGAUACUGACGCUGAGGCACGAAAGCGUGGGGAGCAAACAGGG
This 255-nucleotide ribosomal RNA is filed under the name uncultured bacterium. RNAcentral describes it as "partial 16S ribosomal RNA". It matches the Rfam family "Bacterial small subunit ribosomal RNA", at positions 524 to 777 of the family's 1533-position model. The record is from RNAcentral.